This 402-nucleotide ribosomal RNA is filed under the name bacterium. Its description in RNAcentral is "partial 16S ribosomal RNA". It matches the Rfam family "Bacterial small subunit ribosomal RNA", at positions 355 to 776 of the family's 1533-position model. The record is from RNAcentral.
UGGGGAAUUUUGCACAAUGGGGGAAACCCUGAUGCAGCGACGCCGCGUGAUUUAGAAGGCCUUCGGGUUGUAAAAAUCUUUUUUACGGGAUGAAAAUGACAGUACCGUAAGAAUAAGGUCCGGCUAAAUACGUGCCAGCAGCCGCGGUAAUACGUAUGGACCGAGCGUUGUCCGGAAUCAUUGGGCGUAAAGGGUACGUAGGCGGCCUAGUAAGUUAGAAGUUAAAUAAUAUAGCUCAACUAUAUAAAGCUUUUAAAACUGCUAGGCUUGAGAGAUGGAAGGGAAAGUGGAAUUCCUAGUGUAGCGGUGAAAUGCGCAGAUAUUAGGAAGAAUACCGGUGGCGAAGGCGACUUUCUGGUCAUCAUCUGACGCUGAGGUACGAAAGCGUGGGUAGCAAACAGG